RNAcentral lists this ribosomal RNA (494 nucleotides) under uncultured bacterium. Its description in RNAcentral is "bacterial SSU rRNA". It matches the Rfam family "Bacterial small subunit ribosomal RNA", at positions 29 to 518 of the family's 1533-position model. The record is from RNAcentral.
AUGAACGCUAGCGACAGGCCUAACACAUGCAAGUCAGGGGCAGCACAAGGAGCAAUCUGAGGUGGCGACCGGCGCACGGGUGAGUAACACGUAUGCAACCUGCCUGUAAGCGGGGAAUAACCCGUUGAAAGACGGACUAAUACCGCAUAAUACUAAAUUACUGCAUGGUAAUUUAUUUAAACAUUUAUGGCUUACAGAUGGGCAUGCGCAUGAUUAGCUAGUUGGAGAGGUAACGGCUCCCCAAGGCAACGAUCAUUAGGGGUUCUGAGAGGAGGGUCCCCCACACUGGUACUGAGACACGGACCAGACUCCUACGGGAGGCAGCAGUGAGGAAUAUUGGUCAAUGGACGAGAGUCUGAACCAGCCAAGUCGCGUGCAGGAAGAAUGUCCCUAUGGAUUGUAAACUGCUUUUGCAGGGGAAUAAAGUGCAUCACGUGUGAUGUUUUGUAUGUACUCUGCGAAUAAGGAUCGGCUAACUCCGUGCCAGCCGCCGC